RNAcentral lists this ribosomal RNA (341 nucleotides) under uncultured eukaryote. Its description in RNAcentral is "SSU rRNA". It matches the Rfam family "Eukaryotic small subunit ribosomal RNA", at positions 601 to 945 of the family's 1831-position model. The record is from RNAcentral.
AUAGAAUUAUUGCUGCGGUUAAAAAGCUCGUAGUUGGAUCUGUGCUAGCCGUCCGGUGCACUCUCUGAGUGUUACUGGUUCGGCUGGCUUUUCUGCCGGUCUCUCCCCGGCGUUGGCCUUUACCGGUCGGCGUCGGUGGGCUGGCGAGUUUACUUUGAACAAAUCAGAGUGCUUCAAACAGGCGUUUCGCUUGAAUGUUCGUGCAUGGAAUAAUAGAAGAGGAUUUCGGUCCGAUUUUAUUGGUUUUGCUGACCGAGAUAAUGGUUAACAGAGACAAACGGGGCCAUUCGUAUUGCUACGUGAGAGGUGAAAUUCUUGGACCGUAGCAAGACGGACUACAG